AAAGAUCGAAUGGGGAGAUUCAUCGUCAACGAUUGCUGGCUUCGCGAUGGCUCGUGAUGUCCACCGGACCUGUUCGGUGGCACACGGUCGUUGCGUUGCGUCUGGCUGCGUCGGCGUGCACUUCUCCCCUAGUAGAACGUCGCGACCCGUUGGGUGCCGGUCUUACGGCCUGGGUGGAUGCCUGAUCGCGCAUUAUUGCGCCAGACACCCGUGUGCCAAUGAAUCCGGCUGCCCGGCGGUACGCUCAUGGUAUCGGGCCGCAAACUCGAACUGCGUCGGGCCUACUUUGCCCGCGAAUCAGUCCCUCGGUGGUACGGACCUAGCGCCGUCCCCUUGCCUGAUCCGCAUGUGGCAAAUGGUGUCCUCCGACAGGCCCAUAAACUCGAAUUUUGAUACCGGUCGGCGACGCUAAUGCUUUGGGUAAUCUCAGGACCCGUCUUGAAACACGGACCAAGGAGUCUAACAUGUGCGCGAGUCAUUGGGACCGCAAGCCUAAAGGCGAAAUGAAAGUGAAGGUCGGCCUUAGCGCCGACCGAGGGAGGAUGGGCCGCGUUACGAUGCGGCUCCGCACUCCCGGGGCGUCUCGUUCUCAU
RNAcentral lists this ribosomal RNA (593 nucleotides) under Epyris sp. 2 MC-2010. Its description in RNAcentral is "eukaryotic LSU rRNA". It matches the Rfam family "Eukaryotic large subunit ribosomal RNA", at positions 561 to 780 of the family's 3401-position model. The record is from RNAcentral. Lineage: Eukaryota; Metazoa; Arthropoda; Insecta; Hymenoptera; Bethylidae.